UCGGAUCGUUUUAGAAACAUCAGUGGCCAACAGAUCGCCAGAUCGUUGAGCUGCAUUGGCGGGAUUUCGCCGUCUUCGUUUCUCUUUCUUCGCGGACGAACACGCGCUGGGCCUGCAACGGCAGGAUCCAGGGUCCUUAACGGGAUGUGCGUUAGGGGCUUGUAGCUCAGUUGGUUAGAGCGCGCGCUUGAUAAGCGUGAGGUCGGAAGUUCAAGUCUUCCCAGGCCCACCACUUUCAUCGAGUGAGCAUUCGUCUUCUGGUUACGGGGCCAUAGCUCAGCUGGGAGAGCGCGUGCUUUGCAAGCAUGAGGUCGUCGGUUCGAUCCCGUCUGGCUCCACCAGAUGGUUUGAUCACCGAGAUCUUGACCGUCGUCCGCGAAACAUCACUUCGCAUCCUGCUAGUCUGGAUAGACAGCAGUUUGCGUGUUUUCUGACAUCGUAAAGAGGAGAUCGAUCCGAGUUGGGUCGUGCAGCAUAUCGUUGCGCGAGCCUUCAUUAUCUCCGGAUCAUUUCGGCGCUCGCUUCCAGCCGUGAGGUUGGAUGCGGGUUGUAAAUGAUCCUUUUAGCGAAGCUUGACCGCCUCGCUAUCGGAACGAUCUUACGAAGCAAGCUGGUCUUUCUAGUCAAUGUCCGGCUGCAGAUAGCGUUCAUCGAGGGCGCGUGCCGCAAGGCAAUUCUGCAGACAACAUUCUGCCGAGUGUGUGGACAUUGAUAAUGAGAGCAAUCAAGUGCCUUAAGGGUGUUCGGUGGAUGCCUUGGCGCUGAGAGGCGAUGAAGGACGUGCUACGCUGCGAUAAGCCGUGGGGAGCUGCGAAGAAGCUUUGAUCCGCGGAUUUCCGAAUGGGGGAAAACC
RNAcentral lists this unclassified non-coding RNA (853 nucleotides) under Bradyrhizobium vignae. Its description in RNAcentral is "partial 16S-23S ribosomal RNA intergenic spacer". The stretch from base 723 to 853 matches the Rfam family "Bacterial large subunit ribosomal RNA", at positions 1 to 128 of the family's 2925-position model. The record is from RNAcentral. Lineage: Bacteria; Pseudomonadati; Pseudomonadota; Alphaproteobacteria; Hyphomicrobiales; Nitrobacteraceae.